This 160-nucleotide ribosomal RNA is filed under the name Combretum coccineum. Its description in RNAcentral is "5.8S ribosomal RNA". It matches the Rfam family "5.8S ribosomal RNA". Rfam says of the family: 5.8S ribosomal RNA (5.8S rRNA) is a component of the large subunit of the eukaryotic ribosome. It is transcribed by RNA polymerase I as part of the 45S precursor that also contains 18S and 28S rRNA. The record is from RNAcentral. Lineage: Eukaryota; Viridiplantae; Streptophyta; Magnoliopsida; Myrtales; Combretaceae.
AAAUCUAAACGACUCUCGGCAACGGAUAUCUCGGCUCUCGCAUCGAUGNNNAACGCAGCGAAAUGCGAUACUUGGUGUGAAUUGCAGAAUCCCGUGAACCAUCGAGUCUUUGAACGCAAGUUGCGCCCAAAGCCUUGGCUAAGGGCACGCCUGCCUGGGU